This is a long non-coding RNA of Oncorhynchus keta (chum salmon), 1085 nucleotides long. RefSeq lists it as uncharacterized. The transcript is spliced from 5 exons. The record is from RefSeq and is a predicted model, not a curated record. NCBI's taxonomy places the organism in Eukaryota, Metazoa, Chordata, Actinopteri, Salmoniformes, Salmonidae.
UAUUAAAACAUAUAGGCCUAUGGACUAGGCUACAUGAGGUGUGAUACUAACCUUAUUAAAACAUAUAGACCUAUGGACUAGGCUACAUGAGGUGUGAUACUAACCUUAUUAAAACAUAUAGACCUAUGGGCUAGGCUACAUGAGGUGUGAUACUAACCUUAUUAAAACAUAUAGACCUAUGGACUAGGCUACAUGAGGUGUGAUACUAACCUUAUCAAAACAUAUAGGCCUAUGGACUAGGCUACAUGAGGUGUGAUACUAACCUUAUAGGCCUAUGGGCUAGGCUACAUGAGGUGUGAUACUAACCUUAUUAAAACAUAUAGGCCUAUGGACUAGGCUACAUGAGGUGUGAUACUAACCUUAUUAAAACAUAUAGACCUAUGGACUAGGCUACAUGAGGUGUGAUACUAACCUUAUCAAAACAUAUAGGCCUAUGGACUAGGCUACAUGAGGUGUGAUACUAACCUUAUAGGCCUAUGGGCUAGGCUACAUGAGGUGUGAUACUAACCUUAUUAAAACAUAUAGGCCUAUGGACUAGGCUACAUGAGGUGUGAUACUAACCUUAUCAAAACAUAUAGACCUAUGGACUAGGCUACAUGAGGUGUGAUACUAACCUUAUCAAAACAUAUAGACCUAUGGGCUAGGCUACAUGAGGUGUGAUACUAACCUUAUUAAAACAUAUAGGCCUAUGGACUAGGCUACAUGAGGUGUGAUACUAACCUUAUCAAAACAUAUAGACCUAUGGACUAGGCUACAUGAGGUGUGAUACUAACCUUAUUAAAACAUAUAGGCCUAUGGGCUAGGCUACAUGAGGUGUGAUACUAACAUUAUUAAAACAUAUAGGCCUAUGGGCUAGGCUACAUGAGGUGUGAUACUAACAUUAUUAAAACAUAUAGGCCUAUGGGCUAGGCUACAUGAGGUGUGAUACUAACCUUAUUAAAACAUAUAGACCUAUGGGCUAGGCUACAUGAGGUGUGAUACUAACCUUAUUAAAACAUAUAGACCUAUGGACUAGGCUACAUGAGGUGUGAUACUAACCUUAUCAAAACAUAUAGGCCUAUGGACUAGGCUACAUGAGGUGUGAU